RNAcentral lists this ribosomal RNA (447 nucleotides) under Thermococcus sp. AXTV6. RNAcentral's name for it is "bacterial SSU rRNA". It matches the Rfam family "Archaeal small subunit ribosomal RNA", at positions 46 to 487 of the family's 1478-position model. Lineage: Archaea; Methanobacteriati; Methanobacteriota; Thermococci; Thermococcales; Thermococcaceae. The record is from RNAcentral.
AAGCCAUGCGAGUCAUGGGGCGCGCUCUGCGCGCACCGGCGGACGGCUCAGUAACACGUCGGUAACCUACCCUCGGGAGGGGGAUAACCCCGGGAAACUGGGGCUAAUCCCCCAUAGGCCUGGGGUACUGGAAGGUCCCCAGGCCGAAAGGGGCAUCUGCCCGCCCGAGGAUGGGCCGGCGGCCGAUUAGGUAGUUGGUGGGGUAACGGCCCACCAAGCCGAAGAUCGGUACGGGCCAUGAGAGUGGGAGCCCGGAGAUGGACACUGAGACACGGGUCCAGGCCCUACGGGGCGCAGCAGGCGCGAAACCUCCGCAAUGCGGGCAACCGCGACGGGGGGACCCCCAGUGCCGUGGCAUCGCCACGGCUUUUCCGGAGUGUAAAAAGCUCCGGGAAUAAGGGCUGGGCAAGGCCGGUGGCAGCCGCCGCGGUAAUACCGGCGGCCCAA